RNAcentral lists this ribosomal RNA (549 nucleotides) under uncultured bacterium. Its description in RNAcentral is "partial 16S ribosomal RNA". It matches the Rfam family "Bacterial small subunit ribosomal RNA", at positions 355 to 895 of the family's 1533-position model. The record is from RNAcentral.
UGGGGAAUUUUGGACAAUGGGCGAAAGCCUGAUCCAGCAAUGCCGCGUGUGUGAAGAAGGCCUUCGGGUUGUAAAGCACUUUUGUCCGGAAAGAAAUCCUUGGCUCUAAUACAGUCGGGGGAUGACGGUACCGGAAGAAUAAGCACCGGCUAACUACGUGCCAGCAGCCGCGGUAAUACGUAGGGUGCAAGCGUUAAUCGGAAUUACUGGGCGUAAAGCGUGCGCAGGCGGUUUGCUAAGACCGAUGUGAAAUCCCCGGGCUCAACCUGGGAACUGCAUUGGUGACUGGCAGGCUAGAGUAUGGCAGAGGGGGGUAGAAUUCCACGUNUAGCAGUGAAAUGCGUAGAGAUGUGGAGGAAUACCGAUGGCGAAGGCAGCCCCCUGGGCCAAUACUGACGCUCAUGCACGAAAGCGUGGGGAGCAAACAGGAUUAGAUACCCUGGUAGUCCACGCCCUAAAACGAUGUCAACUAGUUGUUGGGGAUUCAUUUCCUUAGUAACGUAGCUAACGCGUGAAGUUGACCGCCUGGGGAGUACGGUCGCAAUGAUU